UUUACAGAUGAGGCCAAGUCGCGCACAGAGAAGUUGUUAACUAGUUCAGUCACACAGCAAGUCCGGUGCAGGUGGCAGUAAGAAUCCAGAUUGCAGCAUGGCUGAACUGAGAAGUGCGUCCUACUCCAUCAGUCAGGCUCAGGUCUUCCGGCGGCAUGAUAUCAUACUUGUUCUUGCUGGAGUUCCCACAGCCUCUGAAUAACAUGAGACCAAACUGAUCGCUCACGAACCCCACUCAGGACUUACAUAAGCCAUGACUUUAAAGACAGAAGAAGUAAUUUGUAUUUUCUUGGUC
This is a long non-coding RNA of Canis lupus familiaris (dog), 295 nucleotides long. RefSeq lists it as uncharacterized. The record is from RefSeq and is a predicted model, not a curated record. The transcript is spliced from 3 exons. NCBI's taxonomy places the organism in Eukaryota, Metazoa, Chordata, Mammalia, Carnivora, Canidae.